AGUGAACGCUGGCGGUAGGCCUAACACAUGCAAGUCGAACGGCAGCACAGUAAGAGCUUGCUCUUACGGGUGGCGAGUGGCGGACGGGUGAGGAAUACAUCGGAAUCUACUUUUUCGUGGGGGAUAACGUAGGGAAACUUACGCUAAUACCGCAUCCGACCUACGGGUGAAAGCAGGGGAUCUUCGGACCUUGCGCGAUUGAAUGAGCCGAUGUCGGAUUAGCUAGUUGGCGGGGUAAAGGCCCACCAAGGCGACGAUCCGUAGCUGGUCUGAGAGGAUGAUCAGGCACACUGGAACUGAGACACGGUCCAGACGCCUACGGGAGGCAGCAGUGGGGAAUAUUGGACAAAGGGCGCAAGCCUGAUCCAGCCAUACCGCGUGGGUGAAGAAGGCCUUCGGGUUGUAAAGCCCUUUUGUUGGGAAAGAAAAGCAGCAGGUUAAUACCCCGCUGUUCUGACGGUACCCAAAGAAUAAGCACCGGCUAACUUCGUG
This 492-nucleotide ribosomal RNA is filed under the name uncultured bacterium. Its description in RNAcentral is "partial 16S ribosomal RNA". It matches the Rfam family "Bacterial small subunit ribosomal RNA", at positions 29 to 507 of the family's 1533-position model. The record is from RNAcentral.